UGGCACACCAAAAAAGUUGCUCUACCUGGCAAGGCGUUCGCAUUUUGUGGGUUAUGUUGCUUUCAAGUGGAAUGGUUCAUGGAACAAUGAAUCCAUGAGUUCUUGAGUGUUCAGUGCAUAUAUAGCGAAUUAUGAGACACAAAAAAGAAGAGUUUUAGUGUCUACAAGUUACUGCUUAGUGAAGAAGACAUGCCUGUAAAGUACAUUACCCCGGGACGAGCAAAUGUGGUUAUUGGAACGGCUGCUUUCGUGAUGCUCUUCAACACGUUAUUCAUACUGCAUGCGCCGAACGACUGUGAGGACUAUCACCUAAAUAAAGUGCUAUCGGGUCCCGAAGCCCAGGACAGCCCUUCUCUUCUCAGGUGGGUUCGUUCUCAGUUCAUUCCUCCCUCCCAGCUGCCAUACAACCUGUCCUAUAUCAUGAAUGGUUUCCAUGAAGACGAUGAUGGGAACGAACUGAAAAUCUUCAGUCCAUCUCAGGAGUUCAUCUUGGGAAACCUGGAAGAUAUCUAUGGCGAUAAGAUUGAAUUUCCAGGAACUUUCUUAGAAGCUGGUGCUUAUGACGGGGAAUUUUUGUCAAAUACUCUUUGGUUGGAACGAGAGUUUGGCUGGAGAGGGAUUCUCGUGGAAGCUAACCCACAUUUUUUUAAACAGUUGCUACUCAAACAUAGGAGGAGUUGGGCCAUCAACGUAUGUUUAAAUGUAAAGCCUUACCCAUCAAAGGAGAAGUUUGUCAUGGGCUCUAGUUCACCUGUCAAUAUCAGUCACCUUGCAUCUGCAGGUGAAGAUGAUGAUCUUGUAGAGAAGCACAUUAGCCAAGGCUCGUCUGGUUUGAAGGACUUCAAAAUAAAUGAAACGCAGAUAGAAGGUAUGAUGGAAGUACAGUGUGUACCUAUCUACACAGUUGUUAAAGCUUUGGGCAGAACCCAUAUUGACUUUUUUUCAUUGGAUGUUGAAAGAGCUGAGAUGGGGAUACUUGAUACUAUACCUUGGGACAAAAUGUCAUUCUCAGUAUUGGCUAUUGAGCAUGCAACCACAGAUGAUUUGGUUACAUAUCUAGAUGAGAGAGGAUAUGCUCAUGUUGCAUCUCAAAGUGAGGAUCAUAUAUUUGUGAAUAAAGCUGACAGAAUUCUUAAAGAAAAGCAUGGUGGGUUGUGAAUAAUUCCUAGAAGAGCUAACUCAUAGCUUAUGGAAAAACAUUUCAUAUUUUUCCCAUAAGCUUGAGGAUAAGAUGCCCAUCAAUCACAUACAGGAGCACGUUCCCUCCCAGUCACAUUUUCAAGGCAAGAUCAGGAAAAAAAGUGAAGCAGGUUAAUGAGAACUACAGGAGGCACCAAGAGCCUACAUAUGUUUCAUAGCUAGGGGCUCUCCUGUCAGUUAGAUGAAGUUUGCAGUGUCUGCAGACUUUCAAAGACCACUAAUAAAGGUAGAUGAGUGAUGCAUUUGUUUGAAAAAUGUUUUACAUAUAUUAUAUAAUAAAGACUGGUUUUUCACUGCACUGUCCUUCAAUAAAUACUGUACAUAUGUUUACAAUAAAUUUACUGACUUAAUAAUAAAUGGCCAUCAAU
Molecule: RNA transcript, 1568 nt
Organism: Macrobrachium nipponense
Lineage: Eukaryota; Metazoa; Arthropoda; Malacostraca; Decapoda; Palaemonidae
Gene name: protein Star-like
Exons: 8
Source: RefSeq, a predicted model, not a curated record